This 2842-nucleotide long non-coding RNA is filed under the name Sus scrofa (pig). Its description in RNAcentral is "lncRNA (ENSSSCG00035036881.1)". Lineage: Eukaryota; Metazoa; Chordata; Mammalia; Artiodactyla; Suidae. The record is from RNAcentral.
GCCACAUUUCUGCAAUUACUUUGCUACCUCCUUGCUUGGCGGUAUCCUUAGGUUCCUCAGGGAUCUAUCAUCCUACCAUCUAGGCAUCCUGCCUUCUGACAAUUCCACCGGCUACUUUUGUACUGGAACUGAUGUUGUAGGUACAAGUCUGUGCAGCUGUGUUGCUGCCUUGGGUACCUUUGGGCAGAACCCGUGUUUGUCAGUUGGUGGUUUAGACAAGUUGUAGGUAAAGCAGAAUGAGAGCCUCUGUCUAGAUUCUUAUCUUUUGCUCCAGCAGAGUCAGACAGAGAGAAAUGAAGUUGAAUGUCAGGCAGCCUUUGUUUAGAAAAGGAGAUUCCGGUGUUUAGAACAACUCAAGCCGCUAAGACGGAACAGGGCUUGGAGGUGGGAGAAGGGUCUUGCAAAGCUUUACAUUAUAAGCCCAACACGUGAAGUGAGGCCGAGUAAAAUCUCACUAUUUCUGAAAGACUGAAACAAACCAUCCUGGAAUGUGAAGGUGUUCAUUUUAUAAAGAGAAUGGAAUCUUCCUCCGAACACCUGAGGUCCCAGAAUGGGUUAGUAAAGAUAGAAUAGAUGGGAAACAUGAUCUUCUUUUAAAUGUUUCCAUUUGUUUUGUGUGUUCGUUGGUUUUAUAACAUCCAGGUAAGUCUCAAGGUGAAGAAGAGGUCUAUUGCUAAGACAUCAGCGUUUCUAUGAUAGGGAGUAGCUGAAAGGGAUCUAAAGGAUGGCAUAACUGACUUUUAGACAAUCCAGAGCCACUCUUGUGAGCCGGGAGGAGUUGGGAAGAGUAGGUGUGUUGAGAGCUGGCUUAGCCCGGAGUUUUCUGUAGUUGCUUGAAGCUUAGAAAAACCAGAAGAAGAAAGUCCUUAAUAGGAACUCAUGCAAACCGGCUCCUCAGAUUAGGCUGGGGCAGCCUUGUCAGAUCUGUGACCCUCCCAGCUUGCUGUGCAAGGAAAAUGAUCUGGGUUAAAGGAAUCAUUCAUUAUUUUUUAACCUGCAAAUUCCUCCUAACUCCUACCUCUGUAGCCGUUUAAACUCUGGUAAGGGGAGAAACUGAUACCUAAGCACAUGUAAGAAGAUGAAGUCACUUAUCGUGAAAUGUCUUUAAACCUUUAAUUAUUAUGAACAAAAGCUCUAGGUUCUUUGGAGCUUGGGGUGAUGUUUUAGUUUUGUGGCCGUUGGAGUUUUUUGGGCUCUUAGAUUGAGUCAUCUUUUGAAGAUCUAGAAUAACAUACCAUCUACUACAAAGAAAUGAUGGCAGUGUUGGUCCUGACACACACACAUUGGUAUUCAUAAAAGUAUCUACAAGCUGCUUUAUUUUGUUACUGCAGCAGGCCUGCAGCAAGUCUGUGCUGCCCAGGGACACUUGGAAGACAAGGUCACCAUCCUGCUUUCGUGGGGCCAUGGGCCUCUUCGGGCCAGUCCAAGGCUGAGGUACUAGACUCACAGUCAUCCUGGUUCCUUAAUGGAGACACUGCAGAAAUGCAAAGAAACAUGAGCUCUUGGCACCCAGUAGGUAUUUAGCAAACGCUUGGAGGGUAGCCGAUAGUAGGGGCAUUGCUCAUGGCAGAAUUCUGCAGUAGGUGGUGGGUAAUGCUACUUACCAGCCCAGCUGACACUGCCUCAGCUCACACUUUGUGAUCCUGGGAGACAAGCUGCUGGCAUUUACUCUUUGUUUGUAGGCUCAGCUUGGGGUAGGGGACUCUUGGCCACAGAGACUGAGUCUUGAUCCAUGGUGUCCCUCUUCUUUUGAAGGCUUUUUGUCAUCUGAGGAGAGUUAUCCUCUUGGUCUCUUGACCCAGUUUUGGCAAAGGAUCGACAGUGAGCCUCAUGCCCUGAAGGCCUCAUACAGUUUAACUGGUAUCAGGGCGCCGACUACAUGCAAGCUACUCCCUCGCUUAAGAGCUUUAAAAAUGAGAUUUUUUUUUUUUCCUUUGAAAUUUAAAAGAAAGUGGACUAAAAAUGCAUCGUGUUGCAGGCCUGACCCCGUUGACCCUGGUGGAUUAGUAAUGGUCUACGCAGCCUGCUCUGUCAGCACGUCUGGCAGGGCUUGCACAGAUGGUGCCAGUUGGAGAAAAUCACCGCUGAACGUUGCACUGCAGCCUGGCUUUGGCCGAGGAGCUUUGGGAGGAGGAGCCGAGACUGGGUUUGUUUUCAGACGUGUUUCUGCCCAGCGUGUCGGAAUCGACCUGCAAGGAUGCCAGUCUGGGUGUAGGAUGCAUUUGCUGAUUAGGACUUGAGUAAUGCUCCCUUGUCAUGGCUGAGGCCCUCCUGUGCUAUCAAGCAGCUGGGGUUUCUAACAGUCUGUGGCCUUGGGGUUGUUCUGAAAGGGAAUUUGAAACUAGAACUGACCUCAUUGCAAGGAGGCAAGCAUAAUGCAAUCCUUGUUUUCCUAGAGUCAAUCAGCCUAAGGAAAAUUCGAGUAGGCUGGAAUGGGGGGCGGGGCACAGGGAGUCUUUAAAGUUUGAGUAAUCACCUUAACGUGGGGGUAAAGAGAAUUUUAUUCUAGAGAGAAGCAUACAUGACCUCUGUCCUUGCAGCUGCCACCAGUGCCUGGGUCGUCAAGUGGUACCCUGAGAGUUUAUAAUUAACCCUCCUUGUGUUGGGAUCAGUCAUAGAAAUGCUCCUUAAAGACACUGAGGAAAAGAACUUCAUUGAGGUGUAUGUAGUCUGUCCACAAAGUUGAACUGAGCUGAAACUGUAAGUCUGCUCUUCGAAUGAGACCUUGUAUUCUUGGAAAAAUCUGCUCGGCCUUGCUUUGAUAGUCCAGUAUUAAGGAAGUGUAUCCUCCUAAAAUAUUUGCAUCUGAGCUAUGUUUCAGCAGGUCGAGGCUGAACAGGCA